CCUACGGGAGGCUGCAGUGAGGAAUAUUGGUCAAUGGCCGUAAGGCUGAACCAGCCAAGUCGCGUGAAGGAAGAAGGAUCUAUGGUUUGUAAACCUCUUUUAUCGGGGAAUAAAGGUAUCCACGUGUGGCUAUUUGCAUGUACCCUAUGAAUAAGCAUCGGCUAACUCCGUGCCAGCAGCCGCGGUAAUACGGAGGAUGCGAGCGUUAUCCGGAUUUAUUGGGUUUAAAGGGUGCGUAGGUUGUUUUUUAAGUCAGCGGUGAAAGUUUGUGGCUCAACCAUAAAAUUGCCGUUGAAACUGGAAGACUUGAGUGUGUUUGAGGUAGGCGGAAUGCGUGGUGUAGCGGUGAAAUGCAUAGAUAUCACGCAGAACUCCGAUUGCGAAGGCAGCUUACUAAACUGCCACUGACAUUGAUGCACGAAAGUGUGGGUAUCGAACAGGAUUAGAUACCCGUGUAGUC
RNAcentral lists this ribosomal RNA (460 nucleotides) under uncultured bacterium. RNAcentral describes it as "partial 16S ribosomal RNA". It matches the Rfam family "Bacterial small subunit ribosomal RNA", at positions 338 to 795 of the family's 1533-position model. The record is from RNAcentral.